AAAACAUUUAUGUUCAGGUACUCAUGGAAUGCUACUGGUUGUCCAUUGUGACAUGACUCGAGUACUCCAUUUCUCUUAUGGCAUUGCAAAGCUACCAGCCAUUUUUUGAUUCUCAGCUUCAUUUAAAAUUUGAGGGAAACAUGUCCAUCUUGUCAUCACUCUCUGAUAAUCACUGCUUUUCUCAGGACAGCUGAUUUUAACAUUGCUCCAUGCUAAAGUUAAUUUUCUUGAUCUAUCAGAUACAUUAAUCAUGGGUGGAUGUACAGAAGAAAAGCACUCGUGGACUUCUAAAUGCACUGCCUCAGUAAGAAGCAUUCAAAUUACAAAAAGUCACGUUUUAACUAUUUUGUUUACGAAUUAAAUGCAGAUUUUAUUUUUACCUACUUUGCUACUUUGCAAGCCUUUUGGUGUGAACUUAAACAAACAUGAAAAUAAUGUUCUUUACAGUAUGUUAAAAGUGCUUAUAUGUUAAAAGUGCUCACCACAAAGCAGACACUUCUUUGUUGGGCAACCAGCACAGCUUUUUCAUGUUCUCUUUGUGUCCUCACCCGCCCCAACCUAUUUAGGUCAAUACAAGCAACUUCAGAGGAAGUCACUGCCUGGUUAUAAGGCUACAGCUUUGGACUGCAGAGGACAGACUGUGCGAGGAAAACAAGAACACUCUGGGCCAUCAGCAAGCAGAGGAUAGCUCUUAAAUAUCACAUGGGAUAUCCACCCGAUGGAGCUUGGUGCCUUUACUCUGGAGAUUGGAGCAGAUCCCUGAAGUCAGCCCUUUUGGCAAAGGGACACUGCUGUGUGCAGAGACCUGCCUGAGGCAGGGACCUGGCUGCACUGCACCACGGGCACAAGAUUCAGCCACGCUUCAUUCCCCACAGUGAACCUCGGGCUCGGCUGCAAACCUUCCCAGAGCAUGGAGGGGUGAUUGAAGAGGAUCAGACAGUCAACACAUUGCCCAUGAAGCACAGCCAGGUAGCUGAGGUGAGGGGAGCAGGACUCCAGCCACGCUGAAGCAGGUGCAGUGGGAGCAGGAGGCUGAGGCUGGGGGAAAAAUUAGCAGGAGGAGAUCCGAGAAGAUAAGCGAGGAGCAAGCAGCUUCCCCGAGACCUUUCACUGCGGAUCCGAGAGGGAACAUCAGACGCGUAAAAAAAGAAAAACAAAAAACAAAAACAAAAACCAAAAAGCCAAACAAAACAAAAAAAACCCCAAACAAAACAAAACACAGCGUUCAAGCCAGCACAAGGCGAGCGAAAGAUCAAAAAGACGCAGAGGGAGACAGAUUAACUGGAGCAGCAGCAGCAGCAACAACAACAAAAAUCACACUUAAAAUAAUAAUAACAAUAAUAAUAAUAAAACCCAAACCACCAACAAGGGAGAUAUUGUUUAAAAGAGCAAGCGAGGGAGCGAGCCGAAGAGCUGGUCUGACCGAGUGGAUCCGUGCAGCUUCUCCUGGGAUCGCCGGGAUCGCGCCGCUUCUCCGCUCCGCGUCGCGCAGCGUGCGGUGCCCUGCCCGCGGCGGGGGUCCCCGGGCGCCGCCACCGCAUCCGCGCCGGACUCCGGACCCUCCGCGCUGCUUUGAAAAGAAAAGCAUCUCGCUAAUAAUAAGCGGGACGGUGGGGGAAGAAGACUCGCAACGGUGGAGCUGCCAGCCGCGCACCCUCUGCCCGCCGCCCCCGGCUCCCUCCCCAGCUAUGCUCCGGGUCAACUUUGAUGGCACGUUGAGAAGCAGCGGGCGCUGAAGAGGGACAACCGAGCGGCGCGGAGCCGACCUGCUCAGAGACCUGCACCCACGGAUUGUCUUGCGGGGGCGGAGUGGGCGGGGGGGUACAAGUGGCAUUUCUCCCCCCCCCUCCUUCCAGGCUAUAAAUUGGAUUGUAUAUAAAUCUGCUUCGUUUAUCUCCCUGACCCCCCUCAAUGACGCUGGACUAGAGAGCUCCUCUCCGCGGCCCGCCCGGACCUGCCGAAGCGAGCGAUGGACCACGAGCGACUGCGCCCGGGGAUGCCCCUCUGAAGCGACGCGGGGCACCGGGGCAGAGCGGCGCCGCCUCUCCCCUGCUCCCCGGAUCCCCUCGCACCUCCGGCUCGCUCCCCGCUCCCCCUCCCUCCUCCCCGGGCUCCGCAGCCACCCCCUCACCUGCUGCCGUCCCCCUCCCCCGUGGAGCCGGGCUCUCUCCGUGCACGCCAAGCCUGUUCCCCCCCCGCCGCCAACUUCGCCCUCGGUGCCUGCGCGUGCAGCCUCCCCCUCCGCCUCCCCGGCGGCACACGCCGCUUCCCCGGGCGCCCCCUCCCUCCGCCGCGGCUCCCCCCCUGCGCGGAGCGGUUGCGGCCCCCCAGCUUGGCUGCCACCGCCC
This is a long non-coding RNA of Chloebia gouldiae (Gouldian finch), 2348 nucleotides long. NCBI's taxonomy places the organism in Eukaryota, Metazoa, Chordata, Aves, Passeriformes, Passeridae. The record is from Ensembl.